AGAACGAACGUUGGCGGCGUGGAUUAGGCAUGCAAGUCGCGGGAAUCCCAGCAAUGGGGGAACCGGCGUAAGGGGCAGUAAGGCGUGGGUACCUGCCUUGGGGUCCGGGAUAGCCGUCCGAGAGGGCGGGUAAUACCGGAUGACCUCGGGAGAGCAAAGCUCCGGCGCCCUGAGAGGGGCCCACGUGAUAUUAGCUUGUUGGUGAGGUGACGGCUCACCAAGGCGGAGAUGUCUAGCGGGUGUGAGAGCACGACCCGCGCCACUCGCACUGAGACACUGGCGAGACACCUACGGGUGGCUGCAGUCGAGGAUCUUCGGCAAUGCGCGCAAGCGCGACGAGCGACGCCGCGUGGGCGAUGAAGGCCGUUCGGGUUGUAAAG
Molecule: ribosomal RNA, 380 nt
Filed under: uncultured soil bacterium
Lineage: Bacteria
Description: bacterial SSU rRNA
Rfam family: Bacterial small subunit ribosomal RNA
Source: RNAcentral